Molecule: ribosomal RNA, 393 nt
Filed under: uncultured bacterium
Lineage: Bacteria
Description: partial 16S ribosomal RNA
Rfam family: Bacterial small subunit ribosomal RNA
Source: RNAcentral
AUACGUAGGGGGCUAGCGUUAUCCGGAAUUACUGGGCGUAAAGGGUGCGUAGGUGGUUUCUUAAGUCAGAAGUGAAAGGCUACGGCUCAACCGUAGUAAGCUUUUGAAACUAAGAGACUUGAGUGCAGGAGAGGAGAGUAGAACUCCUAGUGUAGCGGUGAAAUGCGUAGAUAUUAGGAGGAAUACCAGUUGCGAAGGCGGCGCUCUGGACUGUAACUGACACUGAGGCACGAAAGCGUGGGGAGCAAACAGGAUUAGAUCCCCUGGUAGUCCACGCCGUAAACGAUGAGUACUAGCUGUCGGGGGUUACCCCCCUCGGUGGCGCAGCUAACGCAUUAAGUACUCCGCCUGGGAAGUACGCUCGCAAGAGUGAAACUUAAAUGAAUUGGCGGG